UUUUCUGCCUAGGCCUCGAUGUUGAACGCCUCUCCUGCAGACAUGAAAGCUCUCUCCUGGAUGUUUCUUGCUGGUUCUGCAGCAGCCAGCGCCCUCUUCUCUCUGGAUUCCCUCCGGGGCAUUCAGUGUCCAGGGGGAGGAUGUCCCCGGGUUGCCCAGAUGCUGCUAGAGAAACACAGCGUACUCAACACCCUUUUGAACAGAGCCCUUAGUAACAGUUGGCACAAGAGAUCACACUGGUUUAGAUUAAGAUCUCCUGCCCCUUUCCUAGAGGAUUGUCAGCUGUCCUCUGUGCCUAGCAGCCCCCUGUCAUUAAGAGGAGGCUGAAAAAGAAAAAAAGGGGAGGCUGGGCUAUGAUGCUCCUGAGGUAUGGAUCCUGGAUGCUUCUCCAGAGAGAACAGUGAUGUUCAGCUUCAAGACCAAGGCAAAGGCUGCUUCCUUUUGUUUGCUCCCUCACUGUGGCCUGCAGGGACAUGCUCCCCAAACUCUCCUCUCCCAUUCUGAGAAGCAGAAGAAGCUUUUGUUAAACACAGUAGGUAUUAUAGAGCUCCCCUUGGUUUCCAGGAGCUCUGCAAGGACCUAUGUAGCCCUCAUCCUUGCUUGGUUCUGCAGUAGCUUGUUAAAAUGCUUUGGGAAGUCAGAAAGUUAGCUGGUGUUUUUUUCUGAACCUUGGUGGGAUACUUUUUAUGACUCAGUUCCAGACCUCCAGACCUAAUGAACUCCACAUUACUCCCAAACUUGGACUUCCAUCUUAGGCCAAAGCUUAUGAAGCCCCAUGUUAGAGUACCUUUGAGAACCAGGGGCAGCUGGUACAGUUACAACCAGUAAACUUAGUUACUG
This 840-nucleotide long non-coding RNA is filed under the name Marmota marmota marmota (Alpine marmot). RNAcentral's name for it is "lncRNA (ENSMMMG00000015389.1)". Lineage: Eukaryota; Metazoa; Chordata; Mammalia; Rodentia; Sciuridae. The record is from RNAcentral.